Molecule: ribosomal RNA, 253 nt
Filed under: uncultured bacterium
Lineage: Bacteria
Description: partial 16S ribosomal RNA
Rfam family: Bacterial small subunit ribosomal RNA
Source: RNAcentral
AACGUAGGAUCCGAGCGUUAUCCGAAUUUACUGGGCGUAAAGCGUGUGUAGGCGGUCCGUUAAGUUGGAUGUGAAAUCUCCUGGCUCAACUAGGAGAGGUCGUUCAAUACUGGCGGACUAGAGGAUGGUAGAGGGAGGUGGAAUUCCCGGUGUAGUGGUGAAAUGCGUAGAUAUCGGGAGGAACACCAGUGGCGAAGGCGGCCUCCUGGCCCAUUCCUGACGCUCAGACACGAAAGCUAGGGGAGCAAACGGG